RNAcentral lists this ribosomal RNA (1326 nucleotides) under Triticum aestivum (bread wheat). Its description in RNAcentral is "partial small subunit ribosomal RNA". Lineage: Eukaryota; Viridiplantae; Streptophyta; Magnoliopsida; Poales; Poaceae. The record is from RNAcentral.
CGCGACACCGCCCUUUUCUUUUUCUUUUUCUUUGGAAAACCCCGACGAGCGGCUGGGCUCGGUUAGCCAAAGGAGCAAGCCCUAGCUCGCCCAAAUCCCCGCUCCCCUCCCCCUCGCCGAACAAAUGUCCGACCGCCGCCGCGACAGGGAGAGGCCCCGCGAGCGCGGCGGCUACGACCAGCCGCGGGAGCGCGACCACGACGCCGACCGCCACCGCGACCGGGACCGCGACGUCGACCGCCACCGGGACCGGGACCGCGGCCAGGACAAGGAGCGGGACCGGGACCGGGACUACCGCCGCGCCCGCAAGCGCUCGCGCUCCCGCUCCCCCUCGGCCGACAGGGACCGCGCCCGCCGCCGCCGCUCCCACUCCCACUCCCACCCCCACCGGUCACGCUCCCCCGACGCCGGCCGCCACAAGCGCCGCCGCGAGGGGUCGCCCGUCGCCGACUCGAAGGAGGACAGGAAGCCGGAUCCCCCCAAGGCCGCCGAGGAGGCGGCCGCCCCGGUGGGCGACGGGGACGUGGACGCGGAGGAGCUGGAGAUGAUGAAGAUGAUGGGGAUCCCCGUCGGGUUCGACUCCACCAAGGGCAAGUACGUCCCCGGCGCCGACGUCAGCGGCGUGCGCGCCGUCACCAAGCGCCAGCCGCGGCAGUACAUGAACCGCAGGGGCGGGUUCAACCGUCCCCUGCCGCCCGAGGUCAACCGCUGAGGAGGAUCAUGUAUCACUGCAGUAUACCUCGUUGCUGGAAUGCAAACUUGCGGUUGAUUACUAGACUUCUUUGCUGGCCAUAGCAAGGAUUGAGCUUCUACUGUCUACCAAGCAUGUAUAACCUUGAUGGCUAGUUACUUUGCCAAACUUUGCAGACUGAGACAUGUAGUUCUCGUUUUCAUCAUUUGCUCUGUCGACAUUCCAGGGAAAGAUAUUGGUGGCGUGUUUUUGGAAAUGUGGUUUAGAAAAUUACAUGAUGUUUCUGCACAUAAUUUGGUGAGCGUCAAGAGCAAUGUUUGUAUAUUUCACCUGCCUCUCUAUUGCCUGCGCUUACAUUUGUGCUUCUAUCUUAGUAUGUUUUUCAGGCAUGCACCACAUGGAAUGGAACUUGUGAUGAUGCAAAUGUGUCCGCAUCAUUAUUACAGUUAUGAAGAUCAUAAUGCUGUUCUACGUAUCUGCUGUACCAUUGUUUUCAUAGGACAACCGUGUGAUUUUACCUGUUUCUGUGUGCUAAAUUGGAUUGAUCUAUGGCGGUGAAUCAUCGGUGCAACAUGGCAAAAAAGAAGUCAUUAUUCCUUACAGAUGGUUAAUUUACAGGAAUAGUUUGAUUUCCA